GGGGAUUUAGCUCAGCGGUAGAGCACUUGCCUAGCAAGUACAAGGCUCUGGGUUCGGUCCCCAGCUCCG
RNAcentral lists this transfer RNA (69 nucleotides) under Rattus norvegicus (Norway rat). It matches the Rfam family "tRNA". Rfam says of the family: Transfer RNA (tRNA) molecules are approximately 80 nucleotides in length. Their secondary structure includes four short double-helical elements and three loops (D, anti-codon, and T loops). Lineage: Eukaryota; Metazoa; Chordata; Mammalia; Rodentia; Muridae. The record is from Rfam by way of RNAcentral.